UACGGAGGGUGCAAGCGUUGUCCGGAUUUAUUGGGUUUAAAGGGUGCGUAGGCGGCUUAUUAAGUCAGCGGUGAAAGACCAGGGCUCAACCCUGGAACUGCCAUUGAUACUGAUAAGCUUGAGUAAAGUUGAGGUAGGCGGAAUUGACGGUGUAGCGGUGAAAUGCUUAGAUAUCGUCAAGAACACCGAUUGCGUAGGCAGCUUACUAAGCUUUAACUGACGCUGAGGCACGAAAGUGUGGGGAUCAAACAGG
Molecule: ribosomal RNA, 253 nt
Filed under: uncultured bacterium
Lineage: Bacteria
Description: partial 16S ribosomal RNA
Rfam family: Bacterial small subunit ribosomal RNA
Source: RNAcentral